AUGAAGGGUGAAGAUGAUGUAAAUACUGCGAGGAAAGAUGAGGAGGCUGAUGGCUCGGGUGAGAAACUCUUGGGUUUCUACAGCACAGAGGAGCAGCCAUCAGGCCCAGGAGGACAAGACGGCAUGUGGAGAAAUGAGAAGUAUGAAACCCUCCCAUUGGAUGUGAAGGGGACUGAUGAAGACAAUUCUAAAGGCACUAAAGAUUUGCUAUACCCCCAGGCUGCUGUAAGUCACAACAACAGAGAAAACAUACCUCUACACUCAUUUUGUUUAUUUCAUUUCAGGGAUAAAGACAUAUUACCGGUUCCUCAACUGUUUUCCUGUCUUUCUAGUACUGCACAAUUUGCAAGGCAAACUAUGGACAAAUAUGUGGACAUUUGAAUGCUUCAGUUUACACUUUUGUUAGGAACAGCUGAUUAUAUUAUAUUAAAGCUAGCUAGAGGUUAAAUUACAUAAAUAGACACAUUUGCAUUGUAAUUCUACUUUGUGCAAGGGAAAUAAUAUUGUAAGCUAAUAUUAUUGAGGAUAAUUUGUAAAACAAGCAAAUAUAUUUUCAUGAAAAGCUAAAGCUUACCAAAAAUAUCUUGACUAGAACACAUUGCCUUCUUUUUCGUACUCCAGAUGGUUCAAUAAACUUUAAGAUCUGCCGAGUGUGCGUACUCUUUAUGUGUGCAAAACUACUUUGCAUACUAAGGAAUAUUUGAAAGGCUUUGCUAAUCUGCAGGACAGGUUGAUCACUUUGAAAUAUCCUCUGAAAUGACUUAAUACAAAUUUAUUCAACUAUGUGUUUGGCGUUCGUAGAUUUGGUAGUUUUUGAGUGGUGUUACUCAUCCUUAUAUAAGGGUAACCGCACAUUCAGGAUUAAAAUAAAAACUCUUGUCAAGCAGUAAACUUAAUUUUGCAUUUGAGUCAGAUUUUGAUAGCUUCCUCCACUCUUUUUUUUUUUUUUUUUUUUUUUUACAUUUUUCUUUUCUUUUGUAAACAGUGCAAAAGUCUUUGAAGGGAUAGUUCACCCAAAAAUGAAAAUUAUGUCAUUAAUAACUCACCCUCAUGUCGUUCCAAACCCGUGAGAGCUUUUAUCUUCGGGACACAGUUUAAGAUAUUUUAGAUUUAGUCCGAGAGCUCUCAGUCCCUCCAUUGAAACUGUGUACGGUAUACUGUCCAUGUCCAGAAAGGUAAGAAAAACAUCAUCAAAGUAGUCCAUGUGACAUCAGAGGGUCCGUUGGAAUUUUUUGAAGCAUCGAAAAUACAUUUUGGUCCAAAAAUAGCAAAAACUAUGACUUUAUUCAGCAUUGUCUUCUCUUCUGUGUCUGUUGAGAGAGAUAGAGUUCAAAACACUGCAGUUUAGUGAUAUCCGGUUCGCAAAUGAAUCAUUCGAUGUAACCCGUAUCUCCUUGAACCAGUUCACCAAAUCGUACUGAAUCGUUUGACACGGUUCGCGUCUCCAAUACACAUUAAUCCACAAAUGACUUAAGCUGUUAACUUGUUUAAUGUGGCUGACACUCCCUCUGAGUUCAAACAAACCAAUAUCCCGGAGUAAUUCAUUUACUCAAACAGAACACUGACUGAACUGCUGUGAAGAGAGAACUGAAGAUUUUUUCUGAAGACGAACACAGAGCCGAGCCAGAUAACGAACAAACGAUUGACUCAUUCUCGAGUCAAGAACCGUUUCUGUCAGACGUGUCCGAUUCGUGAACCGAGGAGCUAUUGAUACUGCGCAUAUGUUGUGUGAUUCAGAGUGAAGCAGACCGACACACAGAGCAUCUGAACCGAACUGAUUCUUUUGGUGAUUGAUUCUGAACUGAUUCUGUGCUAAUGUUAUGAGUGCGGGUAAACCGAAGGCUUGAAUCAAGGGCAAUCAUCGGCAAUGACGCCAUUACGUCGAGCGCAAAAGAACCGGUGAACCGUUUUCUUCAACCGGUUUCUUCAACCGGUUUAUUUAAUCGAACUGUCCAAAGAACCGAUCACUACUGGUGAUCUGAAAACCGAUGCAACCGGUUCUUGACUCGAGAAAACGAGUCAAUCUGUCGUUCAUUAUCUGGCUCGGCUCGGUGUUCAUCUUCAGUUCUCUCUUCACAGUAGUUCAGUCAGUGUUCUGUUUGAGUAAAUGAAUUACUCCGGGAUAUUGGUUUGUUUGAACUCAGAGGGAGUGUCAGCCACAUUAAACAAAUUAACAGCUUAAGUCAUUUGUGGAUUAAUGCGUAUUGGAGACGGGAACAGUUUCAAUACGAUUUGGUGAACUGGUUCAGGAAGAUCUGGGUACAUCGAAUGAUUCGUUUGUGAACCGGAUAUCACUAAACUGCAGUGUUUUGAACUCUCUCUCUCUGACCCUGACUGACCCUCUGAUGUCACAUGGACUACUUUUGAUGAUGUUUUUCUUACCUUUCUGGACAUGGACAGUAUACCGUACGCACAGCUUCAAUGGAGAGACCAAGCGCUCUCGGACUAAAUCUACAAUAUCUUAAACUGUAUCUGAAGAUAAACGGAGGUCUUAAGGGUUUGGAACGACAUGAGGGUGAGUCAUUAAUGACAUAAUUUUCAUUUUUGGGUGAACUAUCCCUUUGAUAUCACUUUCAUCUUUGCGGAUUAAAAUGAAAUAAUUUCUUUAAAAGAUUCUAACCCCAAAAUUGAUCAGCAGUGUAAAUGCACGAAUAGGUUUCAACAUGGAUAAGAUCUUUUCCCCCAUAGAAAUUAGCUGUAAUUUGUUAACUAGGAUUUAUUUGGUGGGUAGUAGCUCUCUUACCCAAUGUUGUGUCCUUGUUUAAACUAACAUCACCCCAAACUCACAGCACUCAAACCAACAGAGCAACAUUGAAAGCACCGUGUUUACUGGAAAAUCAGCCUAAAUACAUAAAUACACCUUUAAAGGGCCAGAAAUCUGCCACACCCUUUAUAAAAUGUAAGAAGUUUGUGAAGUUUGCUGGAAGUCAUACUCUGAUUACACAGGCAGGCUUAUGUCUGAUUUUGUAAUGGAUGUAAAGAUUACUUAAUAAUACUAGUGUAUUUAUUUUUGGUUCAUAAGGUUUAAGGUUGAAGGUCAGAGAUGGCAUCAUGAUUUUGUUAUUGUAAAGUCAUUUUUAGAUUUAGUCCAUAUACUUUUUUUUAUAAUCUCUUCAUCUAUUUUAAAUAGAAUGUCAAAAGAUAUUUACUUUAAAUCAUAUAAUAAUCUACUAAUGCAAAUUAGUCUCUUA
This is a long non-coding RNA of Carassius auratus (goldfish), 3191 nucleotides long. Lineage: Eukaryota; Metazoa; Chordata; Actinopteri; Cypriniformes; Cyprinidae. The record is from Ensembl.